CGGGGCAACUCGGUGAGUACAGCGGCGGAAGGGUGCGUAAUACAUGGAUAACGUACCCCCCAGUUCGGGAUAACCGUCCGAAAGGUCGGCUAAUACCGGGUAAUGGCAACGGGUGGCAUCAUCUGUUGCUUAAAGACGCAAGUCGCUGGGGGAGCGAUCCAUGGCCUAUCAGCUAGUUGGCGGGGUAACGGCCCACCAAGGCAAUGACGGGUAGCCGGACUGAGAGGUUGAACGGCCACACGGGAACUGAGACACGGUCCCGACAUCUACGGAUGGCAGCAGUAGGGAAUCUUGCGCAAUGGGCGAAAGCCUGACGCAGCGACACCGCGUGGGGGAUGAAGGCCUUCGGGUUGUAAACCCCUUUCAUGAGGGAAGAACACUGACCUAACCUCAGGAAGAAGCACCGGCUAACUCCGUGCCAGCAGCUGCGGUAAUACGGAGAGUGCAAACGUUGUUCGGAUUCACUGGGCGUAAAGGGCACGUAGGCGGCUCGGCAAAUCGGUCGUGGAAUCCCGACGCUUACCGUCGGAACGGCGGCCGAAAAUACCGGGCUCGAGGGCGUGAGGGGUCACUGGAACUCCUGGUGAAGCGGUGAAAUGCGUAGAUAUCAGGAGGAACGCCGGAGGCGAAAGCGAGUGACUGGCGCGUUCCUGACGCUGAGGUGCGAAAGCUAGGGGAGCAAACAGGAUUAGAUACCCUGGUAGUCCUAGCCGUAAACGAUGGACACUGAGUGGAGGAGGGCUUGCCCUUCUCUGCUGCAGCU
RNAcentral lists this ribosomal RNA (763 nucleotides) under uncultured Omnitrophica bacterium. RNAcentral describes it as "bacterial SSU rRNA". It matches the Rfam family "Bacterial small subunit ribosomal RNA", at positions 75 to 853 of the family's 1533-position model. Lineage: Bacteria; Pseudomonadati; Candidatus Omnitrophota. The record is from RNAcentral.